GGCCGCUCCACCUUCACGUGUGCAGCGCACACUUCUCUAUUCGUGCGAGCGCGUGUGUGUGCUUGUGUGCGUGUGUGUGUGUUGCGGGCCAGCGUGCUUUGCGUGCUGGCGCGGAUGUUCCACACUGCCUUCUUGGCGGCCUCCAAGAGGCAUUUUCGGUGGCGGUGUUGCCAAUGCACUCGCCUCCUCCCAUCGGAGCACUUCCCCAAGAGGAACGGGCCGCUCAACACGAUGGUCUGCGUGGACUGCAAGGAGAUGUGCUUUGGUUGUGGUUUGCGACAGCCGCGCAGCAGUUUCAGCGACGCAGACUCGAACAUGUGCGACCGAUGCUUGGCGAAGCAACAGGUGGCAAAGGAUAAUGUCUACUUUCGCUACCCGGUACUCAAGUACCGCGCCUGUCCAUUCAGCGUGGAUGAGGCGCGUGAAGAGCUUCGCAAAGAGCCGCCGCCGCCGCAUCGACUGCACAUGCCUCGAUAAGAUGCGUCGUUUGUUUUCUUUGUGGCCGCCGCGAUUGUGAUCGCCUCGCUGCGCAUGCGCUUGUGUACUCGACCGCCAAAGCAAAUACCCGCGUGCCGUUCCCAGGCGCUUCGGUGCUCGUGUCUACAGGUGAUGCACGACCACAGCGGCUCCUCCGUAUAUGCGCGUGUGCACGUGCGUGUGUGUGUGAGGGAGAGGGCUAGGCUUGUCGGGAUCAGCGCUUUCCUCCGUGGUUAGUCAGACCUUGCGUCUGCAACAGCGAUACGCUACAGACAAAAAGCGAUAGCAGGGCGUGCGAGACAGCCAGAGAGGCAUCGCGUGCUCUCCCGUCGUCGUCUAUUCCGUCGAAUGCCCGCUCUUUGUGUUUGGCUCGCCCCUUCUCCCUCCUCCCAACUGCGCUCCCCUGACCCGAUCUUGCUCUCUUCGCUCCGCUGCGUCUGCUGCUGCAUGUUCUUCAAUGUAUUGUGAUGGCAG
This 951-nucleotide unclassified non-coding RNA is filed under the name Leishmania donovani. RNAcentral's name for it is "gene:LdHU3.26.3210(CDS-product:hypothetical_prote in_conserved)". Lineage: Eukaryota; Euglenozoa; Kinetoplastea; Trypanosomatida; Trypanosomatidae. The record is from RNAcentral.